CCCGAACCCGGAAGCUAAGCCCGCCAGCGCCGAUGGUACUGCCAGGGAGACCUGGUGGGAGAGUAGGACGCCGCCGCAC
RNAcentral lists this ribosomal RNA (79 nucleotides) under Actinospica durhamensis. Lineage: Bacteria; Bacillati; Actinomycetota; Actinomycetes; Catenulisporales; Actinospicaceae. The record is from RNAcentral.